GAUGAAGAACGCAGUGAAAUGCGAUACGUAAUGUGAAUUGCAAAUUCAGUGAAUCAUCGAGUCUUUGAACGCACAUUGCGCCCCCUGGUAUUCCGGGGGGCAUGCCUGUCCGAGCGUCAUUGCUGCCCUCAAGCACGGCUUGUGUGUUGGGCCCCGUCCUCCGAUUCCGGGGGACGGGCCCGAAAGGCAGCGGCGGCACCGCGUCCGGUCCUCGAGCGUAUGGGGCUUUGUCACCCGCUCUGUAGGCCCGGGCGGCGCUUGCCGAUCAACCCCAAUUUUUAUCCAGGUUGAACUCGGAUCAGGUAGGGAUACCCGCUGAACUUAAGCAUAUCAAUAAGCGGAGGA
This 345-nucleotide unclassified non-coding RNA is filed under the name soil metagenome. RNAcentral's name for it is "partial contains 5.8S ribosomal RNA, internal transcribed spacer 2, and large subunit ribosomal RNA". The stretch from base 1 to 119 matches the Rfam family "5.8S ribosomal RNA", at positions 35 to 154 of the family's 154-position model. The record is from RNAcentral.